Molecule: ribosomal RNA, 449 nt
Filed under: uncultured bacterium
Lineage: Bacteria
Description: bacterial SSU rRNA
Rfam family: Bacterial small subunit ribosomal RNA
Source: RNAcentral
UGAGGAAUCUUGCGCAAUGGGCGAAAGCCUGACGCAGCGACGCCGCGUGGAGGAUGAAGGUCUUCGGAUUGUAAACUCCUGUUAAGGGUGAAGAAAGCCUCGUCAGUAAUAUGGGCGAGGUAUGACGGUAACUCUAGAGAAAGCACCGGCUAACUUCGUGCCAGCAGCCGCGGUAAUACGAGGGGUGCAAGCGUUAUUCGGAAUGAUUGGGCGUAAAGGGUGCGUAGGCGGUGCGUUAAGUCUGUUGUUAAAUUCUCUGGCCUAACUAGAGACCAGCGGCAGAAACUGGCGUGCUUGAGGGUGGGAGAGAGAAGUGGAAUUCUCGGAGUAGCGGUAAAAUGCUUAGAUCUCGAGAGGAACACCAAUGGCGAAGGCAGCUUCUUGGUCCAUUCCUGACGCUGAGGCACGAAAGCGUGGGGAGCAAACAGGAUUAGAUACCCCCGUAGUCC